GGAGUGGAUAACUCAAGUGACAGAGUGCAUGCUUAGCAUGCAUGAGGUCCUGGGUUCAAUUCCCAGUAACUCCU
Molecule: non-coding RNA, 74 nt
Organism: Camelus ferus (Wild Bactrian camel)
Lineage: Eukaryota; Metazoa; Chordata; Mammalia; Artiodactyla; Camelidae
Source: Rfam